Molecule: long non-coding RNA, 1368 nt
Filed under: Pongo abelii (Sumatran orangutan)
Lineage: Eukaryota; Metazoa; Chordata; Mammalia; Primates; Hominidae
Description: lincRNA
Source: RNAcentral
CUCGGCAGCCGGCCUUAGCCUGGAGGAGCAACCGUGGUCCAGAGAGGCAGACGAAUGGCGGCCCUGCCCCGUGGGGGCUCCAGUUCUUCUCCAUCCUCCUCCAGGCUCCGCCCACCUGCUCCGUCUGCAUCCCAGGGCCUCGUGAAUCCCAGGGAAGCCAUGAGCUGCCACAUCACGCCCGGAAGGAAGCAGGCUGCGUUGGAGGGUAAAAGACGCACCAGCAACUUAGAAUUCGGGGCACUGCAGAGCUGGAAGGGGCCUCAGCGCUGCUCCCUCCGCCCCCUCAUUUCACAAACCAGAAAGCUGAGACCCAAAGCAAGGAAGGGACUCGGCCAAGGUCAGAGCUCAUCUGGGACCACACGAAGAUGAUAACUUGUUAGGAGUUUUGCAAAUGGGUUUGUCUACGGUUUGGUAGAAUUGAAACAUUUUUUCUAGUUCAAAUUUUCAACCGUGGCCAGCUCCCUCUAAGCCACAGUGGUGGAGCACUGUGAUUGAAAUUCAGCUGCAUAGCUCUUGCUGGGAAAUGCAGUGACGGAGCACAGGCGGCAGCUGCCUCCCACACUUAAGACAGGACUUCUAAAGCCACAGUCCCUGUGUGAGCCUCCUGGAGCUCAUAGUCCCUCAAAUGGCAGGCAGGUUUGUGAAUGUUUCUGUGUUCUGAACAUUUUUCUGAAAAAGGGUUCACAGCUUUAAUUGAUUUACAAAGAGACGUACAACAUGGAAGAGAUUGAGAAUCAUUUCCUUAAAGCAACAAGAAUCUAGGCUGGGGAGAAAUCAGAUUUUAGGAACGAGCUGCUAGGCACCGUAGCAGCAUUCAGAGACAUGAAAGCAUUGGAUUGUUUCCUAGAUUUAAGAGCAUAUAUUUUGCAACAUGAAAGAGCUUCUAUGCUCUAGAAUGUAAGUUCCUCAAGGAUAGGGCUCUAGUCUAUGUCUUCACCUAAGGUAUCCUUAGAUCUUGGAUCAGUGCCUGGGCGUAAUCACAGGUGCGAACACACAUGUGAUUUAUUUGUUAGUCUGCACAGCACUUCUCUUUCCAUGCUCACUCCUGCCUGGUCUCCAGCAGUCAUGAGAAUUGCCAUCGUUAGGGAAACCUGAUGCAAGAAUUGCAAGAAUGACUUUGUAAUUCAGUGUUGACACUCAGGACCUUUUUCAUUUUGUGUUAAAGACUGAUCACUCUGGGAAAAUCAAGGCAGUCCAGCCAAACCCCAAGUCCCAAUCAAAUGCAGUUUGUAUUGAACCCCACGACUGCCCAGCACCUUUGGGAAGCCCAUUGCUUUCUAUGCAGAUGCAGAGCUCCCAGAAAGCACAGGUGGAUGUGUUCAGCUUGCCUUGUGACGUGAAUGCCUGAAAACAGAACAGGACUAAAAA